UGCAAGGGCACUCUGUGUUAACCUAAAUCAGUAGGAUAAUAACAAUUUGUAACCUUGCUAAAAUAAAUCUAUCAAAACCUAUUCCGGAUAGCUUGGACUCGCUAUUUGGUCAUAGUGGUAGAUACAAU
This is a small nucleolar RNA of Operophtera brumata (winter moth), 128 nucleotides long. It matches the Rfam family "Small nucleolar RNA psi18S-841/snoR66". Rfam says of the family: psi18S-841 is a member of the H/ACA class of snoRNA. This family is responsible for guiding the modification of uridine 841 in Drosophila 18S rRNA to pseudouridine. NCBI's taxonomy places the organism in Eukaryota, Metazoa, Arthropoda, Insecta, Lepidoptera, Geometridae. The record is from Rfam.